RNAcentral lists this ribosomal RNA (253 nucleotides) under uncultured bacterium. RNAcentral describes it as "partial 16S ribosomal RNA". It matches the Rfam family "Bacterial small subunit ribosomal RNA", at positions 524 to 776 of the family's 1533-position model. The record is from RNAcentral.
UACGUAGGGACCAAGCGUUGUCCGGAAUUAUUGGGCGUAAAGAGCUCGUAGGCGGUCUGUCACGUCGGCUGUGAAAACCCGAGGCUCAACCUCGGGCCUGCAGUCGAUACGGGCAGACUAGAGUUCGGUAGGGGAGACUGGAAUUCCUGGUGUAGCGGUGAAAUGCGCAGAUAUCAGGAGGAACACCGGUGGCGAAGGCGGGUCUCUGGGCCGAAACUGACGCUGAGGUGCGAAAGCGUGGGGAGCAAACAGG